Molecule: long non-coding RNA, 156 nt
Organism: Cotesia glomerata
Lineage: Eukaryota; Metazoa; Arthropoda; Insecta; Hymenoptera; Braconidae
Exons: 3
Source: RefSeq, a predicted model, not a curated record
GGUUCGAAUCGGGGACAUCAAGGUUAUUUGACAUAUACACAAAUGAACAACUCUGAAUAUAGAAAAGCUUUACAAAUGAACAUCUCUAAUUAUGGACAAGAAAAUUCGGAAAUCUCUCAAUUUGGACAACUCUCAUUGAAAAAAACAAAAAAAAAA